GAUGAACGCUGGCGGCGUGCCUAAUACAUGCAAGUCGAGCGAACAGACGAGGAGCUUGCUCCUCUGACGUUAGCGGCGGACGGGUGAGUAACACGUGGAUAACCUACCUAUAAGACUGGGAUAACUUCGGGAAACCGGAGCUAAUACCGGAUAAUAUAUUGAACCGCAUGGUUCAAUAGUGAAAGACGGUUUUGCUGUCACUUAUAGAUGGAUCCGCGCCGCAUUAGCUAGUUGGUAAGGUAACGGCUUACCAAGGCAACGAUGCGUAGCCGACCUGAGAGGGUGCUCGGCCACCCUGGAACUGAGACACGGUCCAGACUCCUACGGGAGGCAGCAGUAGGGAAUCUUCCGCAAUGGGCGAAAGCUUGACGGAGCAACGCCGCGUGAGUGAUGAAGGUCUUCGGAUCGUAAAACUCUGUUAUUAGGGAAGAACAAAUGUGUAAGUAACUAUGCACGUCUUGACGGUACCUAAUCAGAAAGCCACGGCUAACUACGUG
RNAcentral lists this ribosomal RNA (497 nucleotides) under uncultured bacterium. RNAcentral's name for it is "partial 16S ribosomal RNA". It matches the Rfam family "Bacterial small subunit ribosomal RNA", at positions 28 to 507 of the family's 1533-position model. The record is from RNAcentral.